UACGGAAGGCAGCAGUGGGGAAUAUUGCACAAUGGGCGCAAGCCUGAUGCAGCCAUGCCGCGUGUAUGAAAAAGGCCUUCGGGUUGUAAAGUACUUUCAGUCGUGAGGAAGGUGUUAAGGUUAAUAACCUUAGCAAUUGACGUUAGCGACAGAAGAAGCACCGGCUAACUCCGUGCCAGCAGCCGCGGUAAUACGGAGGGUGCGAGCGUUAAUCGGAAUUACUGGGCGUAAAGGGCACGCAGGCGGUUAAUUAAGUUGGAUGUGAAAUCCCCGGGCUUAACCUGGGAAUGGCAUUCAAGACUGGUUAGCUAGAGUCUUGUAGAGGGGGUAGAAUUCCAUGUGUAGCGGUGAAAUGCGUAGAGAUGUGGAGGAAUACCGGUGGCGAAGGCGGCCCCUGGACAAAGACUGACGCUCAUGUGCGAAAGCGUGGGGAGCGAAAACAGGGAUUAGAUACC
RNAcentral lists this ribosomal RNA (455 nucleotides) under uncultured bacterium. RNAcentral's name for it is "bacterial SSU rRNA". It matches the Rfam family "Bacterial small subunit ribosomal RNA", at positions 340 to 786 of the family's 1533-position model. The record is from RNAcentral.